AUUGAACGCUGGCGGCAGGCCUAACACAUGCAAGUCGAACGGUAACAGGAAGAAGCUUGCUUCUUUGCUGACGAGUGGCGGACGGGUGAGUAAUGUCUGGGAAACUGCCUGAUGGAGGGGGAUAACUACUGGAAACGGUAGCUAAUACCGCAUAACGUCGCAAGACCAAAAAGGGGGACCUUCGGGCCUCUUGCCAUCGGAUGUGCCCAGAUGGGAUUAGCUAGUAGGUGGGGUAACGGCUCACCUAGGCGACGAUCCCUAGCUGGUCUGAGAGGAUGACCAGCCACACUGGAACUGAGACACGGUCCAGACUCCUACGGGAGGCAGCAGUGGGGAAUAUUGCACAAUGGGCGCAAGCCUGAUGCAGCCAUGCCGCGUGUAUGAAGAAGGCCUUCGGGUUGUAAAGUACCUUCAGCGGGGAGGAAGGGAGUAAAGUUAAUACCUUUGCUCAUUGACGUUACCCGCAGAAGAAGCACCGGCUAACUCCGUG
Molecule: ribosomal RNA, 490 nt
Filed under: uncultured bacterium
Lineage: Bacteria
Description: partial 16S ribosomal RNA
Rfam family: Bacterial small subunit ribosomal RNA
Source: RNAcentral